AUGGGCAGGGGGCGGUGCGUGGGUCCCAGUCUGCAGUUAAGGGGGCAGGAGUGGCGCUGCUCACCUCUGGUGCCAAAGGGCGGCGCAGCGGCUGCCGAGCUCGGCAGUGGAGGCGGCGAGAACAUGGUGCGCAGGUUCUUGGUGACCCUCCGGAUUCGGCGCGCGUGCGGCCCGCCGCGAGUGAGGGUUUUCGUGGUUCACAUCCCGCGGCUCGCGGGGGAGUGGGCAGCGCCAGGGGCGCCCGCCGCUGUGGCCCUCGUGCUGAUGCUACUGAGGAGCCAGCGUCUAGGGCAGCAGCCGCUUCCUAGAAGACCAGGUCAUGAUGAUGGGCAGCGCCCGCGUGGCGGAGCUGCUGCUGCUCCACGGCGCGGAGCCCAACUGCGCCGACCCCGCCACUCUCACCCGACCCGUGCACGACGCUGCCCGGGAGGGCUUCCUGGACACGCUGGUGGUGCUGCACCGGGCCGGGGCGCGGCUGGACGUGCGCGAUGCCUGGGGCCGUCUGCCCGUGGACCUGGCUGAGGAGCUGGGCCAUCGCGAUGUCGCACGGUACCUGCGCGCGGCUGCGGGGGGCACCAGAGGCAGUAACCAUGCCCGCAUAGAUGCCGCGGAAGGUCCCUUAGGUGAGGACUGAUGAUCUGAGAAUUUGUACCCUGAGAGCUUCCAAAGCUCAGAGCAUUCAGUUUCCAGCACAGAAAGUUCAGCCCGGGAGACCAGUCUCCGGUCUUGCCUCAGCUCACGCGCCAAUCGGUGGGACGGCCUGAGUCUCCCUAUCGCUCUGCCCCGCCAGGGCGGCAAAUGGGAAAUAAUCCCGAAAUGGACUUGCGCACGUGAAAGCCCAUUUUGUACAUUAUACUUCCCAAAGCAUACCACCACCCAAACACCUACCCUUUGCUAGUUCAAGGCCUAGACUGCGGAGCAAUGAAGACUCAAGAGGCUAGAGGUCUAGUGCCCCCUCUUCCUCCAAACUAGGGCCAGUUGCAUCCACUUACCAGGUCUGUUUCCUCAUUUGCAUACCAAGCUGGCUGGACCAACCUCAGGAUUUCCAAACCCAAUUGUGCGUGGCAUCAUCUGGAGAUCUCUCGAUCUCGGCUCUUCUGCACAACUCAACUAAUCUGACCCUCUUCAGCUAAUCUGACCCUCCGCUUUAUGCAGUAGAGUUUUCCAGAGCUGCCCCAGGGGGUUCUGGGGACAUCAGGACCAAGACUUCGCUGACCCUGGCAGUCUGUGCACCGGAGUUGGCAGCACUCUAUGGCAGACAGAGGCCCUCUCCUUUCCCUCUUAAACUUGUGCAAGAGAUCGCUGAGCGAUGAAGUUACAGCUAGCAUCCAGGUCCCGGGAGGUGAAGAAGGAGACUUCGGCUCCAUUUACAGCUAGCAUCCGGGUCCCGAUUUAGAAGGAGCUGCCAAUUACAGCGCGGUUCCAGGGCUGAGCAAAAAGCCUGAGGAGCCAAGUGGGAGAGGGAGUAAAACUACUGAAUUGGGCCACAAGCAAAUGAAUAAACUGAACGACUCUUAACCAAA
Pan troglodytes (chimpanzee) is the source of this 1523-nucleotide RNA transcript. It is a transcript of the gene named cyclin dependent kinase inhibitor 2A, with no coding region annotated. Lineage: Eukaryota; Metazoa; Chordata; Mammalia; Primates; Hominidae. The record is from RefSeq and is marked provisional. The transcript is spliced from 3 exons.